This 30-nucleotide small RNA is filed under the name Bombyx mori (domestic silkworm). RNAcentral's name for it is "ovarian small RNA-7381". Lineage: Eukaryota; Metazoa; Arthropoda; Insecta; Lepidoptera; Bombycidae. The record is from RNAcentral.
UCCUCACUGAGUGGGGGGCGGUGGCCGCAA